UCCACCAGUUCAUCAAACUCCCUCUUUCCUUUGUAGAAAUGGAUCCCUACGUUGAUGGAGAAAAGGAUGAGUUCUUUAUGGAUAUAGAGAGGCAGAUUUUGCUUCUCAUGGCUGACGAUGGAGAGAGCUCGUUAGACGCGGCAUGCCGGACCCCUAAAGAGAGCAAAACAAGCCCAUCUUUACUCACUGAGGCAAGAAUUAUCUUCUGACUGAUAACUAGAGUAUCGAGUUCUUGUUGCUUAUUGUGAUUCAGGUCUUGGAAACUAUCUUUUUUAUUUUUCGAGUGCUGAGUUAUGAAGAAAUCUUGCAUGCUGCAGCAGUGGGACUGCGGCAUCAGCCGUAGUGCUUGCCGCCGGAGGCAUUCAAACCCACUAACACCACAACGCCUUAAAACGAAGCGGCCAGCAGCAGUUUUGUUGCCGAGAGAGAGGAAGGGAACAGGAGUCUUUAUUCCCUGCUGCUGCCCCCCUCCUCAUACCUGAAGGGCUGAAGCUGGGACUCUUGGUCGGAGAAAAGGAGCAGGUUCUUGCAAAUUAAGAAGAUUUGAAGGUCAAGCUAUGUGAAAAUAAUUAAUGUGUCACGUAGAAUUAUUUGGUGAUAUUUCUUCGAGUUUACCAUCUUCACCUGAUUACGAUGUUUGCACUCCAACAGCAAGAGGGUUAUUGCUAUCCGUAUUCUAAUGUAUCACUUGUGUCUCACUGUCAUAUUUAGAGCAUUAAUGAAAGAUCAACACUUUGACUAGAAGGUGUUGGUGGCUCAAAAUACUUCAUCA
This is a non-coding RNA of Phoenix dactylifera (date palm), 772 nucleotides long. NCBI's taxonomy places the organism in Eukaryota, Viridiplantae, Streptophyta, Magnoliopsida, Arecales, Arecaceae. The record is from RefSeq and is a predicted model, not a curated record.